CUUUUUUGUGGUUUUAUAGAGAACUUAAAUAACUGACAUUGAAAACGAUUGUUUCUUAAAUGAGCAGUAUCAGGAAUGUUCAUGUAUUUAUGCAUAGCACAGUGUAUAUGCAGCAGGAGUUGUAGGGCAUGCUAGCAAAUGACUACAAAAAUAGCAGUUAAUGACCUGACAGUGUGAAACUUAAAUGGCUAUUCCUCUGUGAAUCUUUUAAUGUCUCUAGUGGGCGUGCCAUGCAAAUGAUAUCCUGCGUUUGAACCAUUUAUGCAGUUAUAUACGUUCAGCUCAACAACAUACCAGCAGUUUGUGUUCAUUAAUAGCAAAAGUUACCUUGAGAUGGGACUAGGCAGAGUUUUGAGUUACAUUGCUCUAGCAAUGUUCAUUCAAUAUUCCUGCAGUCAGACACUGAUCGAGUCCGAUUCAGUGAUCAUCAAACCUGAUCAGUCUCAUAAACUGUCCUGCACAGCAUCUGGAUUUAACUUUGGUGGCUCUUGGAUGGCUUGGAUCAGACAGGCACCUGGAAAAGGGCUGGAAUGGGUUGCAACUAUCUCAGACACCAGUGGUAGCAAGUAUUACUCCAAUGCAGUUAAUGGCCGCUUCACCAUCUCCAGAGACAACAGUAAGAUGCAGGUGUAUCUGCACAUGACCAGUGUGAGGACAGAAGACACUGCAGUGUAUUACUGCACUAGAGAAGCACAGUGACACAUGAGGUUGCAGAGCUGUACACAAACCCCUUCAUAAAUAUGAAAGCAUUUUUUUUCUUUUUUCUAUCCUACAGAACAUAUUUACAAGGAAAACAUUUUUCCAAAUAUUAAACAUAGAAAGACACUCCA
Non-coding RNA from Ictalurus furcatus (blue catfish), 830 nucleotides. Lineage: Eukaryota; Metazoa; Chordata; Actinopteri; Siluriformes; Ictaluridae. The record is from the annotation of a RefSeq genome assembly.